AUUGAACGCUGGCGGCAGGCCUAACACAUGCAAGUCGAACGAGUGGCGGACGGGUGAGUAAUGCUUGGGAAUCUGACUUAUGGAGGGGGAUAACUACUGGAAACUGUAGCUAAUACCGCAUACCAUCGGAUGAGCCCAAGUGGGAUUAGGUAGUUGGUGGGGUAAAGGCUCACCUAGCCGACGAUCUCUAGCUGGUCUGAGAGGAUGACCAGCCACACUGGGACUGAGACACGGUCCAGACUCCUACGGGAGGCAGCAGUGGGGAAUAUUGCACAAUGGGCGCAAGCCUGAUGCAGCCAUGCCGCGUGAAUGAAGAAGGCCUUCGGGUUGUAAAGUACUUUCAGCAGGGAGGCGUUACCCACAGAAGAAGCACCGGCUAACUCCGUGCCAGCAGCCGCGGUAAUAC
Molecule: ribosomal RNA, 406 nt
Filed under: uncultured bacterium
Lineage: Bacteria
Description: partial 16S ribosomal RNA
Rfam family: Bacterial small subunit ribosomal RNA
Source: RNAcentral